This 1250-nucleotide long non-coding RNA is filed under the name Medicago truncatula (barrel medic). Its description in RNAcentral is "long non-coding RNA (MTRU_LNC007084)". The record is from RNAcentral. Lineage: Eukaryota; Viridiplantae; Streptophyta; Magnoliopsida; Fabales; Fabaceae.
GCACUAUAAACUAUUUUUUUAAGGAGACACUGUAAACAACUUUUUUUUUCACCUUACAUAAAAAAAUAUAUUCUAUUUUGGAGUAGUUAUUUUUCUUCCAAUGUUACCCAGUUCACUAAAUAAUUGUAAUAGAAAAGAUGAACCAUCUUGACCCUAGUGAUCAUAAACUCACGCACCUUAUAUUCUUGUUUGACUUAAGUGAUAUAUCACAGCAACAUAAACACAAUCCCCAUUCAUUUUCAAAGCAUCUCAAAUACGAUUUUUCACACCAUUUUUGCGAAUUUCACCAACUUCAACGAAAUCAACAUCAAAUCAACCAAAUCAACAAGUAAGUUAUGCUUAUCCUACUUCAUUGCUUCUUUUUGGUUUAAAUUUAUGAUUUUUUUUUUUUGAGAAAUAUGAGAUUUUUAGGUUUUUAAGUUAGAAAUUGUAGUUUAGAUGUUGUUUAGAGUGCAGUGUGGUAAUUUAGGGUUUAGAAAUUGUUUGAUUUUAAGUAGAUUGAAAGUUGGACUCUAGGUAUUUGAUAAAAUGUCUAAAUGAAAAUUUGUUUGUUUUUUUGGAUUGUUAAUGAUGAAAUUAGUUAGAAAUUGAUUUGCUAUUGUUGAUCGUAGUUAGUUUGACUGCAAUGUGGUAAUUUACAGACUGAAGUGACACUGCCAAAAUUUAAGCGUUGUUGAAUGAGUAGGAAUUGACACAAUAUCCGUUGAUAAGUGUUCAAAAGUGAUAUUUAAGUGUUUUGCAAAUUAUCUAAGGAAAAGCUAUAAUUUAAUGUAAUUAUACCAAUUAUGCUUCAUGUGCCUUGCUCUACCCAUUUGUGCAGGAAAAUAAAAGCAAGGACCAAGAAAUCAUCAUUCUUUGCAAAGACCAACUCGCCAAAGCAAGUUUAACUCACCAAAGCGAGAAAUUGGCAGAAAGUCCCAGGAUUGCUAGCGCUCAACAUGCCAAAGCGAGUUCACAACAAGACCAAACUUGCCAAAGCGAGAAAACUCCGUAAACUCCCAUGCCUGAGGUUGAAGAACUUUGUGCUGGACGACCCAACACUGAAACAAAGAUAUUUGUAUGAGGAACAAAAAGACUCAUUAUCAUAAAAUAUGUUUUUUUUUUUUGAAGAUAAAAUAUAUGUUAAUAAGAUAGGAUGUUUAUAAAAAAACAUCAAUUCCAAAUGACUAGUUUAAUCAAGUCUACUAAAAACAGUAUAACAUAAGUAUCCAACACAAUUGAAAUACAUAAUACAGAAUCUUAUAUGAAAG